This 508-nucleotide ribosomal RNA is filed under the name uncultured Glomus. RNAcentral describes it as "SSU rRNA". It matches the Rfam family "Eukaryotic small subunit ribosomal RNA", at positions 569 to 1078 of the family's 1831-position model. The record is from RNAcentral. Lineage: Eukaryota; Fungi; Glomeromycota; Glomeromycetes; Glomerales; Glomeraceae.
AGCAGCCGCGGUAAUUCCAGCUCCAAUAGCGUAUAUUAAAGUUGUUGCAGUUAAAAAGCUCGUAGUUGAAUUUCGGGGCCAGUAGGUUGGUCGUGCCACUGGUAUGCACUGGCCUUACUGGUCCCUCCCUCUUGUAGAACCGUGAUGCCAUUAAUUUGGUGUUGCGGGGAAACAGGACUGUUACUUUGAAAAAAUUAGAGUGCUUAAAGCAGGCUCGCGCUUGAAUACAUUAGCAUGGAAUAACGGAAUAGGACGAUCGAACCUAUUUUGUUGGUUUCUAGGAUCGACGUAAUGAUUAAUAGGGAUAGUUGGGGGCAUUAGUAUUCAAUUGUCAGAGGUGAAAUUCUUGGAUUUAUUGAAGACUAACUACUGCGAAAGCAUUUGCCAAGGAUGUUUUCAUUAAUCAAGAACGAAAGUUAGGGGAUCGAAGACGAUCAGAUACCGUCGUAGUCUUAACCAUAAACUAUGCCGACUAGGGAUCGGAUGAUGUUAAUUUUUUAAUGACUCA